UUAAUCCUUGUGUCUUUCAGUCUGUUUCUGCCUAUCACAAUGAGUGAUUCAGAACUUCAAGAGCAACUUUUGAACCUUGAUACUCGGAUUGAUCAAGAUUUCAAUUAUAAGCUCAAGUCUUGAUGACAACUUGGUGAUCUGCAGGAAGCAACUCCAGUAAAGACAACUGAACCAAGGGUAUGGUGGAGAAAGAGACACAUUGUGUAAGGAAGGCCAAUACCAAUCUGGAAUCAAUAAAGGCUCAUAGGAACUCCAAUCGUCCCAACUGUGAGAGGGCCUUGCUCCAGUGACUGUUGGAUAUUGGCAUACCAGGAUAGGCGUGGUUUAACUGUUGGGAAGGAGGUUGGAACAGUGCAAUGUUUCCUCUCUUGGAUUGCAGUGACCAGACAUGCUACUGUAACUCUCAUGGUCAUGUGCUGGAAUUAGCAGAUGUUCAACUAUUUGGCCAUCUCACUGACCUGUUGAUAUCAGAAGACCACAACAGCUCUGCAAUGCAAGUUGCAAAACAGAA
This is a long non-coding RNA of Danio aesculapii, 511 nucleotides long. RefSeq lists it as uncharacterized. The transcript is spliced from 4 exons. NCBI's taxonomy places the organism in Eukaryota, Metazoa, Chordata, Actinopteri, Cypriniformes, Danionidae. The record is from RefSeq and is a predicted model, not a curated record.